RNAcentral lists this long non-coding RNA (286 nucleotides) under Populus tremula. Its description in RNAcentral is "long non-coding RNA (PTRE_LNC002337)". The record is from RNAcentral. Lineage: Eukaryota; Viridiplantae; Streptophyta; Magnoliopsida; Malpighiales; Salicaceae.
AAAACCUGUAGAAGUAAAAGAAGACGAGAAGCCAGCAACUGUUGUUUCUGAGGAAAUUGUGGAGAAAGCUGAGGAACCACCAGCACCUGCUGCUGAAGAAAAAACUGAAGAUACUCCUGCUGCUGUUGAAGAAAGCACUGAAACUCCCGCUGCUGUUGAAGAAAGCACUGAAACUCCCGCUGCUGCUGAAAGCAACAGUGAAGAUACCCCUGCUGCUGCUGAAGAAUCCAAUGAAGCUACAGAAGAGAACUCAGGAAAAGAAGCUGCAGAAGAGAGGCGGGAGAUU